GGAGCUUGCUCCUGGAUUCAGCGGCGGACGGGUGAGUAAUGCCUAGGAAUCUGCCUGGUAGUGGGGGAUAACGUCCGGAAACGGGCGCUAAUACCGCAUACGUCCUGAGGGAGAAAGUGGGGGAUCUUCGGACCUCACGCUAUCAGAUGAGCCUAGGUCGGAUUAGCUAGUUGGUGGGGUAAAGGCCUACCAAGGCGACGAUCCGUAACUGGUCUGAGAGGAUGAUCAGUCACACUGGAACUGAGACACGGUCCAGACUCCUACGGGAGGCAGCAGUGGGGAAUAUUGGACAAUGGGCGAAAGCCUGAUCCAGCCAUGCCGCGUGUGUGAAGAAGGUCUUCGGAUUGUAAAGCACUUUAAGUUGGGAGGAAGGGCAGUAAGUUAAUACCUUGCUGUUUUGACGUUACCAACAGAAUAAGCACCGGCUAACUUCGUGCCAGCAGCCGCGGUAAUACGAAGGGUGCAAGCGUUAAUCGGAAUUACUGGGCGUAAAGCGCGCGUAGGUGGUUCAGCAAGUUGGAUGUGAAAUCCCCGGGCUCAACCUGGGAACUGCAUCCAAAACUACUGAGCUAGAGUACGGUAGAGGGUGGUGGAAUUUCCUGUGUAGCGGUGAAAUGCGUAGAUAUAGGAAGGAACACCAGUGGCGAAGGCGACCACCUGGACUGAUACUGACACUGAGGUGCGAAAGCGUGGGGAGCAAA
This 701-nucleotide ribosomal RNA is filed under the name Pseudomonas sp. Z4_186_3. RNAcentral's name for it is "bacterial SSU rRNA". It matches the Rfam family "Bacterial small subunit ribosomal RNA", at positions 75 to 772 of the family's 1533-position model. The record is from RNAcentral. Lineage: Bacteria; Pseudomonadati; Pseudomonadota; Gammaproteobacteria; Pseudomonadales; Pseudomonadaceae.